UUAUUAAUUACAAAAUUAAUCAAUAGUAUUAAUUUAAAUAAAAUAUUUUAAAUUUUUAGAAAGAUUUUACUAGAUUUUUUCUUAACAUUUUGUUAUAACUAAAAAUAAAUUUAAAUUUACAGUUAAAAUUGAUUUAUUAUUAAUAUCUUUAUAUAUUUAAUAGAUUAAUGUAAAUAAUUAAAUAAAUAUAAUUAGUGAAAUGGACCUAAUACGGCUAGUAAGACUUUUUAUGGUAGAUAAAAAUGGUACUUUUCCUUUAAUAGAGUAGAUGCUUAAUUUAAUCAUACUUAAGCCAACAAUACUGUUUUGCUAUGUUAUAAAAAUUAAGUUAUGUAUAAACUAUUCUAAGCCGACGUCCAAUAUCAAUUAGGAUCGAAGUCCGGUGUCUAAACCUGUCAAACCCUGUAAAUUACCAAAUUUUUAGUUAUAUAAGUCCAAAAAAUGGAGUUUUCAAACUACGCUUGUUUAAGCUUUAUGUAUUUUAAGAUAGUAUUAUUCUUUGAAUUAAAACCAUAUUUGAUAUUUAUAUUAUGUUUGAUUAUUCUUGAUACAAUCACUAACAAAGCAAAUAUGAAAGUGCGAAUAUAUUUUAUUGAUUGUUACAAGAAUCACAUUUUAAAUUAGACAAAUGUGUAUUUUUCAUGAAGAAUAUGUUUCAAAAAAUACAAAGUGUGAUGUUUGACUGGGUUUAAUAUGAAUUUUAUUGUCCAGUAUAAUUAGUUUUAAAUUUACAUUUUACUAUUUAAAUUUGUUAAAUUUGGUUUGUUUAUAAUAUGGUUGCAAACCGCAUGAAAACCACUAUUGUUAAAGCAAAAAAAAUUAAACUAAUUUUUGAAGAUGAUGAUUUUUCGGUUUAGCGAUCGCUUUGGAGUAAAAAUUUUGUUUUAAAAUAAUUGUCGUUUUAUAAUUUCAGUGUAGAAUUUUUAACUUUAUAUUCUAAUAUAAUUUUUAUUGGUUGAAAUGUAGUUAGAUGUGUUGAUACUUAUAUUUUAUUUAAUAAAUAUAUAAAAUUAAAUAUUUUUUUUAAUUUGUGGGUUUAAUGCUAAAAACUUUUUAAAAUAUUAAAUAUAUAUAAUUAAAUAUAUUUUUUAAUUAAAAGGAAACGGAUGGGGUAUUUAAUAGAAACUUUUUUAAAAAAAUAAAAAUUUAAAUAUACUAAAAUAUAAUGUAAAAACUUGGAUAUCUUUUAACCAACGAUAAUGCAACGGUUUUGAACGACCGACAAAUCCCUUUUUAUCCCCAAUAAUUGUUCAAACCGACAACUCUGGUUUGACUUUUUUGUAUCCUUUCGGAAAUUGACAGUUUAGUUUCACAAACUCUACAACUUGGAUAGCGUUAGAGCACCCGCAAAUGGGGUUUUAGCAUUGGAGUUCUAUAUGUAUAUAUAAGUAUCUGUCUUAUUAAAAUAGAAGUAUACUUAUAAAUUAAUCCUUAGUUUUUUAAUUUAUUUACAUUUCAAUGUCAUUGAAGUAAUAAAUUUACCUACCUUUUAGUAUUCUUGUCUUUUAUAAUUUAAUGAAUGUAUUUUUCUAAAAUGAAAUACAACAAAUUAUGUGCUAUUUAUUUAAGAAAUAUUUCCUAUAAUCAAGUUAAAUAAUAAAUUAGACUUAAUCAAUACCAAAAAUGUAACAAAAUGUAACAAAAUUUUCAUUAUAUGAACUGGUUAUUUUUUAUUUUAGUACAUUAACUAUGUCUAAAAAAUAUAGAAGAUGUUAUAAGAAAUAAAUAAUAUAAAACAUACAAAAUUAUAAAUAAUAUAUAUUCGAUUAUUUGAUCGUAAUAAUCAAAUAUAACCAUAGACAAUAUUUUUAUUUUACCUAAAUUUUUGAUCCAUAAAAAAUACAUUUACACCAACACACCUGUCAUAUUUUAAAAAUAUGGGUGUAAUAAUUGACGGAUCAAAAAAUAAAAUAAAUUUAUUCACUAUAAAUUUUAAAAUUUAUGGGUUUAAAAAUAUAUUAAACAAUUAUUUAACACAUAUAAACUUUAUAAAUAUAUAUUACCAUUUAUAUAAGAUAAUUUAAAAAAAAGAAUACCCGCGCAGGUGCCGGGUCAAGUUCUAGUUAGUCUUUAACUAUAAGUAUCUAAAUUUCAUAGAAAAUCCAAUCCAAGAUAUCUUAAUAUUUGUAUUUGUAUAUGUAUUUUUAGACUCCGGAUGCUAGAAUCUCCAUUGGGGAUAAGGACGAGCAAAUUAGUAGUCGCGGAUUAGGAAUUUUGGGAUUAACUAUGGUAUUUUUUCUGUUGGAAUCACCUAUGGUAGGCCUAGACUAACCAAGUGGAAGUGCAGCUACGGAUAAAACUCCUUUCUGGAUAUAUAAAUGGGCCGCAACCAGAGGUCCAUAUCUGUGUAAAUCUCCAUGAACAAUAUGAUUUAGUUUCGUGCAACAGGUGAGAACGAACUUGAAACAUGUUACCGUCCUAAACUUUUUCUUUUACCACUCGACCACAAAGCUCCAUACUAGUUUUUCCUAGCUUAUUUUGAUUAAAUAUAUUAAAGUUAUUGAAUUCAUAUAUUUUUAAUCUAAUUAAGAAGCCAUCAGUUACAUAAUGUAUUGUAUAACAAUUAAAUUCAUAUUAAAUAAAUUUUUAGAAAUUUAAAUUAUUGUAUAUUUUGAAGAAUUUUGAUCUAAGUCAAAAUAAUCUUAGUUCUUGUGUUAAAAACACUGAAAAUUAAUUUUGAAAAAAAUCAAUAAAAUAAAAUUUGUAUAAUCAGUUAAAUUAGAAAUUUUUCUAAGACUUGUUAUCAUAUUAGUUUUAAUUUUUUUUUAAAAAAUAAUUUAUUUUGAUUUAUAUUUUGCUAAGUAACUAAAUUUAGUUAUUUCUUAUUUUUGGAUUUUUUUCAAAAAAAAAUAUUAAUAUCGUUAAGAUUGAACAUGUUAUAUAAUGUUAGCAAUGUCGUAUUUUUACUAACCCAUGUCAGCUUUUUUUUUAUACCAAUUGAAUGUGGUGAUGAUGUAUAAAUAUUUUCUUUUUAAAUCAUUUUUAGAUAAUUUUUAAGAAUUCAUUCUCAUUCAUAAAUAAUGCAAUUUUAAGUUUUUUUAAAAGUGUUAUUUUAUAUUUUCUAUACAACUUUAUAUAUCUCAUAUGUUUUUGUAUUUUUUCAUAACUAAUAUAUUUUAUUUAAUUAAUCAUAUAUUGAAUAGAUGUAUAUUAGUAUAUGUUUAAAAUUUUAAAAUUUUCAUGAAAUGUUUCGAAACAACACUAUUUGCAAAACAAAGAGAUUAUAAACUAUAACAUAAUUAAAAUAUUUUGUUUAUGGUUGUGUUUCUCUUGACCGGCAUAUUUUUAAAGGGAAAUUGGACUGUAUGACGCUACAAUAAUGCAUAAUUAGGUUGAUAGACAAUUACCCUAGCUUUUCGAUAUACCGAUGCAAUUUUAUGUAAUAUUGUUGUUUUGUCCCUAACCCCGACCGACUGAACCUGCUGAAAUGAAAAUUAAAAAUUUUUAAUUUGAAACUGUAGAAAGUAAGUCGUGGCCUAUUAGCAUCACAUUAUCUCUUUUAACUUGCUUUCGUAACUUUUGAGAAAGUGAAAAGUUGAUGUCAACGGUUUACUCACCUUUUUCCAACCCACCGAUUUCCUCUCAACAGUCGCUACUGACGGCAUCCUCUGCGUUUCUUCGACUCCUCGAAGUGUGUUGCAAAAGGGAAAUGAUCUCUGCUUGUGAAAUUGAUUGCGAGAAGAGUUCGUAAGUGUGAUAGUGUGAACGACAACCAGAGCCUCAUCUCCUUCAUAUCGGCGAUUAAGUUGAGAUUUGUUGCAAUAUUGUAAGUUCUCCGUUUUGUGCCACAGAUUCUAUUAUUUCAAUGUUAUUUCCUCUAUUUGGAAUAGAUCCAGCCUUAGUCUAUUCUAAGUUGAUAAAUCUAAACCAUCGUUUCUGUUGCAUGUCCGAUCUGGUAAGUUGAGGUAAACAAAUUGAUUUAGGUUUGAACUUUUCUCGGUUCGUCGUACUCAUUUAUUUACUGCGAAGGGGGAUAGUGAUUAUGGAAUGAAAAGUCCCUUUUGCGAUAAAACAAGUUUAGUUCUCUUUGAAAUGGUAUAUCCUAUGGAAAAUAUGCUAUUUGAAAUGGAAAAUCUUAGUUUUAGAGACUGGUUACAUGCCAUUCUAUUUCUCUGCUAUUUCUGAAGAAUCGUAUCGGAACUAAUAUCCAUUCCAUCUGACCAUUUGUUCUGUUCCAUAUAUAUAAAUUAUAUAUUAUAUCAGAUGAAUUGCAUAUGUUACUCAUUUACUCGUAUAGGUGAUUUGGGAUUGACACAACUAAACAUUUAAAUUAAGCAUAACAUAAUUCAUAUACUAGUAGCCUAUCUCAUAUACUGCCAUUUUCUUCCAACUUGUAAACAACGGGUGUCUUCAUUUUCAUUUUGUUCUUUAGGUUUGUCAUGAAUGAGUUGAAAGAGUAAUAGUAUUUCUAUACUAUUUUAUGAAAUGGAACAAACUGUAUUUCUUUCAAAUUAGGCUCUUCUCUUAUUUGCCAUGUUUAUUAAUAUAUAAUGUACUACUUAGUAAGUUAUAUUUUAUUUGAUGCUUGAAAGAGAGGGUUUAAUUUUGUUCGCUGUUGUUUCAUAUUCUAUUGAUAUGAGUUUUGUAUUGGUAUAUACAUGUGUUUUAUAUUAGUUUGUAUAUGAUUUUGUGAAGAGAAAUAUUAUAUUGAACGUAAAUGGAAUAGAAUUUAUUAUGACAUCAAAUAGAAAAAGAAUACAAUGUGAUAUUGAAUGGGAAUGAUAUUCAUAUGAUGUUGUCUCUUCCACCUCUUUUCUCUAAUGCCGUCAAUAUUCAUUUCUAUUCGCUACAAUCAAUCUGAAUUUGGGGUAAGCAUUACCUCUUUCCCUAUAGACACUUCAAAAUUUGAACAAUAUAUAUGUACUAUGCUAUAUCGUUUGUUACCUUUUCUAUUAUAUAUGCUCAUGUAGAAUGAAAAUGCAUGUUACUUGCAUUGGGUUUAGUUUAUGAAAGAUUGAGUUUGACAUUGGAUUAAUGUAUGUAUUUUUGUGUAUGGUUUAGUGAUUAGUUGAUAGGGUUUAGUUUAUGUAUGAUUGGGGUUGACAUUGUUGCAAGCAUUACCACCUUCCAUGAAGGCAUAUCUAUAUCAACAUUGUGAAAUAUGUUAAAAUGAUUUUUAGAUUGCAACUACAUUUUCACAUUUUCUAUUUUAUAUGUCUCAUGUAGAAUGGUAAUGCAUCUUACUUGCAUUUCGAAAUUUGGAUUUAAUUUAUGAAAAUUGGGGUUGACAUUGGAUUAGGGUUGACUAUCGUUACAUGUUUUUGAACCUGUAAAAAUUGUACUAUAACCUAUAUCGUAUAGUUUAAUAUUACAUAAUAUAAUUUAAUAUUAUAUAAUAUUACGUAUUUUUAGAUUUUGAUAUUUGGGUUUAGGAUUCAUAUUUAGAUUAAGGUUUAGUGAUUAGAAUUUAUGGUUUAGUAUUAAAAGGUGAAGGAAUAUGGUUGGGAUCAUCAUUAAUUUCUUUCAUGUAAUCAUAGAUUUUUUAUAAUUUCACUAAUAUGUACUAUGUUAUUUAUUUUGUUCUAUUAUGUUUGGGUUAGAGUUUAUAUUUGGGUUCAUGGUUUAUAUUUGGAUAAGAGGUUAGUGAUUAUAAUUUAGGGUUUAGUAUUUAGAAUGUGAGGAAUAUCGUUGAGGUCAACAUUAACUUGUUCCAUGCAAGCAUAGAUAUUUCAUAAUUUUACCAAUAUGUACUAUGUUGUUUAUUUUGUUCUAUUCUAUUUGGGUUAGAGUUUAUAUUUGGGUUUAGAGUUUAUAUUUGGGUAAGAGUUUAGUGAUUAUAAUUUUGGGUUUAAUAUUUUGAAGGUGAGAGGAUAUGGUUAGGAUCAACAUUAACUUCCUCCAUGCAAUCAUAGACAUUUUAUAAUUUUACCAAUAUGUAUUUUGUUAUUUAUUUUGUUCUAUUCUAUUUGGGUUAGAAUUUGUAUUUGAGUUUAGUGUUUAUAUUUGGGUAAGGGUUUAGUGAUUAUAAUUUAAGAUUUAGUAUUUAGGGAUUGAGGUGUGAUUGGGACAAUGUUUAGUAUCUAGGGUUUAGGGUUGGGAUAUGUUUAAUAUUACAUGUUGUAGGUGAAGUUAUAAUUCUACACUACUUCAGUUUAUGGAAUAGAAUAUUUGGUGUACAUAUAUGUGAGUAAUAACAUGUGGAUGACUCCUUCUUUCUAAUGAAAUAUUUUUAUACAUACUUGAUCAUGUAUUACAUAGACUACGUGGACACACAAAACAUAUUUUUAUCGGAUAAUGACAGAGAAAGGGUAUAACCGGAUGAAAUAUGGUGUAAAUGUUAGUUUUCGUCAAAAUCAUUAUCACUCACUUUAUUUAUUGGCAUAUACACCCCUUUUUAAACAUCUUUAUUUAUUUAUUUUUCUGUUUUUGUAUGACAACUAAAAUUUAAAAAGAAAAGAAAAUACUAAACCGAAAAAGCCUACAGACCAGACCUACACAGACUGAGACUGAGAUGGUCUCAGCCAACAUUUACUUUCUGUUAUAGAGGACAAGAGGGAAAAGACCGACACCAAAAGGCUCGCCUCCGUGUUGGUCCCCACAAUUAACUUUCUUGGCCAUAUAAACAUAAUUUCGGUCUAUUUGUGCAUCGAAGUUAAAUGAUGAAACUAUUUUAAUUGCAAAGAAGAGAAGAAGUUUCAAAGACUAGUUAGUUAGAAAAGUCUUUUAACGAAUGUAUGAGAUCUUUGUGGUGGAGAAGUACGCACUAAUUAAAAACAAUACUUAACAUGUCAAAUUAUUUAACGAGAGCACUUGAUGAUUAGUUUCCUGAUAUUUUAUGUUUUAGAAAACGUAUAUGUAUUUGAUUUUGAUUUUUAUAAACUAAUACUCAGAUUUAAAUAAAACAAUGCAAUAUGAUGAUAUGUUUGGACAUAAAAUUUUUCUCUUUUGCUUAUCCACUUACUUGAAGUACGGCAAAAGAGUUAUACUGACCAGCAAUAUUCAUCGAAUAUAGACAGAAGAAAGAUCCAGUGAACAUGAUCGGACAAAGUAACGAGAACAUAUAAAUAAUUUAAAUCAAUCAAAUAUUACAUAGAAAGUGAUUAUUUAAUCAUGCGUGCUCCAACACCAGCAUUUGUAAUUCAAUUUUGAAUUUUUUUAUGUAUUGUAGUAGUCACGUGAAAUUCAAAUUAACACAUCUAUCAUGUUCUCUCUUUUGAUUUUGGCAUAUAUGGCAUCCAUUCUUUAGAGAGAUAGUGUGGGGUUACUUUUACGGUGGCCUGAUCUUUACAUAUAGCCCUAUAUAAUUCAACUAGCAGGUUCUUUCUUUUGUAAUUGAAUAUGAUCGGUUCCUCUGAUCAAACGGAUAAAGAAAACUAGAGAUUCAUGCCUCCUGGGUUUUUGUAUCUUGCUGCAGAGAUGACAAUGGAAUGUGAACAAUGGACAACAACAGUAUGAGAAUGGCAAUGGAACGUUGAGCCAUAUCUGUUUUUUUUUUUCAAUUAGAGAUUAAAACAAUGGCAAGCGUGUCAUGGGCAAUGCAUCGUGGACAUCAUGUCGUGGACAGAGUAGUGGACAUUAUUAUGCCAUGGAUAACACAACUUAGCAAGUGUUUCUAACAUAUUUAAUAUGCAAAAAUCAAAAGUGUGUACCAAAUAUGAGAAUCAAACGAGUCAUUCAAUCCUAAUGUUUGACACAAGCAGUACAUAUUUAGCUUAUAUUUACAAAAUACAUUUUUUUCUAGAGGCGUACAUCGUACACUGACCACAUCUUCUUUUUUUUUUUUUUGUAAACAACACUGACCACAUCUUCAUUAUGAUUUUAUUUUAAAAAAUAUAAUUUAUGCUAGUGUUUUGUAAGCAAACAUCAAUGCAUUCAGUCAUUGUCUUAAGCUGUAAAACACAUAAGCAUUGAUUUACCAAACUCUUGAUACCGUAGAGAAUAUCAAGAAACAGAAACAAUCUUGUAGAUAAUUUAGAAGAUGUGUUCUGACUUCAGGAAAGUUUUUUACAAGAUGGUAUAUUAAGAUGAAGUCUGUAAAAAUUCAAUGCUUCAAACUCUGAGAUCUAACACGAUGAAGAUGAACAUUUUAUAUUUUUAUACUAAUUCAUAUAACUAGAACGUUGAAUUAUUCAAAUUGUUGAGAGACAAGAUCCAAGAUACAAGAUAUAAGAUCCAAGAGAGAGAGAGAUUCAAGAUACAGUAUAACAGAUACAAGAUCAGAGAGAGAGAGAGAGAGAGAGAGAGGAGAGAGGGAGAGAGAGAGAGAGAGAGAGAGAGAGAGAGAGAGAGAGAGAGAGAGAGAGAGAGAGAGUCACUUUUGAAGAUUAUAGUAACAGAGAAAACCAAUGUUCAAAAACGCGGGCGAGUUACCGAGUAAUCAGCCGCAAAAAGGUGUUCGGAAGGCAACCGUAGCGAUUAUGAGCAGAUCGGAAAAAUUAUACGGUGACCUGAGUUUCAACUGUUUGAGCCGUAGAAUUCAAUAAGCCGGCGACUUAUAUUUUUCAUACAUGGCUUAGUUUGUGUUAGAUUUAUAAGAUUUUGGUGAUAAUUUGAAGAAAAAUGGCGAAAAAGCAACGAACAGGAUGUAUAAUGCAAGCGAUGGUCAUUUUAGGUUACAGCUUUUUUGCAGGGAAGAUGAUAAAAGCGAAAGUACCAGCGUAUCCUUUAUUAAUAAUACAAAAAUAAACAAAAUGUUGUGUACUUGGGUAUUGAUCCUGAAGCGCUUGACAAUCAAAGCAACACAAGACCACUGAGACAAGUCAUAUUCUUUCAAUAUCAUUACAAAUAAAUGAUAUUUAGCUACAAUAAGAUGAAAACCUUUGGAAAAAAAAUUCCCGAUUACUCCCCGAUUAAUCUCCGAGUUUUCAUCAACUCGCUAGGCCCAGACCGACCGCCGGAUUCACGCCUAGCGUAGUUUCGAAUAUGGGAGAAAACUAAUCAUGAAGAAACUUGUUGACAACCAAGAUGUGUAACUGAACAAACAAAAUAAGAAACUCCCGAUUUAUCUUCACGAGAAUUUGGAGACGAAAAGCUUUGUUGCAGCAACAAUUUUGUUUAGGGAAAUUUCAAUUUUAUCACAAGUUUGAUAAUAUUUUCAAAUUUAUUCUUAAAAUAUAUGCAUUUCCAUAAAUAUAUUAAACUUUUGAUUAAAAUAAUUUGAUUAAAUUUUUAAAAUCAUUUAUAAACAUUUAAUAAUACUUUAUAAAUCAUUUACUAGAUUUUGAUCCACGCUUUCUAAGCGCGGGUUUAAUUUUGGAAUUAAAUUAUUAUUAUUUUAAAUAAAUUUUUAUAAGAUAAUGUGGAUUCACAUAAAUAUUGGCAUAGAACCGCGAUUCGGACCGGACGUUUUCAAAACGCGGUUUAUUGUUUGAUUCAAUUGACAUAGAAUUAUUAAAUAUAUGUUAGACUAAAUUAUAUAUAUUUGGUUUAAAUAAACACUAUUGAUUUAUACGGAUUCGAGGAAUGUGUUCAAAUUUUAAAAUGAAAUUUGUAUAUUUAGUAGUAUAGAAAUUAUAAACUGGGGUAAAUAUAUAUAGAAACAAUUCUGGUCACAUUUAUUUAUAUGUAUAUUAACUAUCAAAAUACACAAAAAUAAAACAAAGUAUAUAAAAUAUUGUUACAUGUUUAAAUUCUGUAAUAAGUUGAUAACAAUGAAUUUAUUAAAUUACAAAAGUUGUGACAUACAUCACAACUUAUAUCUUUCUAUACUAUUAAAAGCAAAU
Molecule: long non-coding RNA, 9662 nt
Organism: Brassica rapa (field mustard)
Lineage: Eukaryota; Viridiplantae; Streptophyta; Magnoliopsida; Brassicales; Brassicaceae
Source: RefSeq, a predicted model, not a curated record